GACGAACGCUGGCGGCGUGCUUAACACAUGCAAGUCGAACGAGGUACGAGGAGCUUGCUCCUCGUAACCGAGUGGCGAACGGGUGAGUAACACGUGACCAACCUAUCCCAGGGUGGGGGA
Molecule: ribosomal RNA, 120 nt
Filed under: uncultured bacterium
Lineage: Bacteria
Description: partial 16S ribosomal RNA
Rfam family: Bacterial small subunit ribosomal RNA
Source: RNAcentral